GAUGAACGCUGGCGGCGUGCCUAAUACAUGCAAGUCGAACGCUGAAGGAGGAGCUUGCUCUUCUGGAUGAGUUGCGAACGGGUGAGUAACGCGUAGGUAACCUGCCUGGUAGCGGGGGAUAACUAUUGGAAACGAUAGCUAAUACCGCAUGACAACAGUUAUUGUAUGAUAACUGUUUAAAAGGGGCAACUGCUCCACUACCAGAUGGACCUGCGUUGUAUUAGCUAGUUGGUGAGGUAACGGCUCACCAAGGCGACGAUACAUAGCCGACCUGAGAGGGUGAUCGGCCACACUGGGACUGAGACACGGCCCAGACUCCUACGGGAGGCAGCAGUAGGGAAUCUUCGGCAAUGGACGGAAGUCUGACCGAGCAACGCCGCGUGAGUGAAGAAGGUUUUCGGAUCGUAAAGCUCUGUUGUAAGGGAAGAACGAGUGUGAGAGUGGAAAGUUCACACUGUGACGGUAUCUUACCAGAAAGGGACGGCUAACUACGUG
RNAcentral lists this ribosomal RNA (495 nucleotides) under uncultured bacterium. Its description in RNAcentral is "partial 16S ribosomal RNA". It matches the Rfam family "Bacterial small subunit ribosomal RNA", at positions 28 to 507 of the family's 1533-position model. The record is from RNAcentral.